GAUGAACGCUGGCGGCGUGCCUAAUACAUGCAAGUCGAGCGAACGGACGAGAAGCUUGCUUCUUUGAUGUUAGCGGCGGACGGGGGAGUAACACGUGGAUAACCUACCUUUAAGUCUGGGAUAACUUCGGAAAACCGGAGCUAAUACCGGAUAAUAUUUUGAACCGCAUGGUUCAAAAGUGAAAGACGGUUUUGCUGUCUCUUAUAGAUGGUUCCGCGUUGCAUUAGUUAGUUGGUAAGGUAACGGCUUACCAAGGCGACGAUGCAUAGCCGACCUGAGAGGGUGAUCGGCCACACUGGAACUGAGACACGGUCCAGACUCCUACGGGAGGCAGCAGUAGGGAAUCUUCCGCAAUGGGCGCAAGCCUGACGGAGCAACGCCGCGUGGGUGAUGAAGGUCUUCGGAUCGUAAAACUCUGUUAUUAGGGAAGAACAUAUGUGUAAGUAACUGUGCACAUCUUGACGGUACCUAAUCAGAAAGCCACGGCUAACUACGUG
RNAcentral lists this ribosomal RNA (497 nucleotides) under uncultured bacterium. RNAcentral's name for it is "partial 16S ribosomal RNA". It matches the Rfam family "Bacterial small subunit ribosomal RNA", at positions 28 to 507 of the family's 1533-position model. The record is from RNAcentral.